GAUGAACGCUGGCGGCGUGCCUAACACAUGCAAGUCGAGCGAGGGUUUGCUCAGUAUUGAGUAUUCUAAAACUAGAAUGUUCAAUUCUGAGCAAAACCAAGCGGCGGACGGGUGAGUAACGCGUGGGUAACCUGCCCUAUACACAUGGAUAACAUACUGAAAAGUUUACUAAUACAUGAUAAUAUAUAUUUGUGGCAUCGCAGAUAUAUCAAAGUGUUAGCGGUAUAGGAUGGACCCGCGUCUGAUUAGCUAGUUGGUGAGAUAACUGCCCACCAAGGCGACGAUCAGUAGCCGACCUGAGAGGGUGAUCGGCCACAUUGGAACUGAGACACGGUCCAAACUCCUACGGGAGGCAGCAGUGGGGAAUAUUGCACAAUGGGCGAAAGCCUGAUGCAGCAACGCCGCGUGAACGAUGAAGGUCUUCGGAUCGUAAAGUUCUGUUGCAGGGGAAGAU
RNAcentral lists this ribosomal RNA (454 nucleotides) under Peptostreptococcus stomatis. Its description in RNAcentral is "bacterial SSU rRNA". It matches the Rfam family "Bacterial small subunit ribosomal RNA", at positions 28 to 449 of the family's 1533-position model. Lineage: Bacteria; Bacillati; Bacillota; Clostridia; Peptostreptococcales; Peptostreptococcaceae. The record is from RNAcentral.